UACGGAGGGUGCAAGCGUUAAUCGGAAUAACUGGGCGUAAAGCGCACGCAGGCGGUUAGAUAAGUCAGAUGUGAAAGCCCCGGGCUCAACCUGGGAACUGCAUUUGAAACUGUCUGACUAGAGUCUUGUAGAGGGGGGUAGAAUUCCAGGUGUAGCGGUGAAAUGCGUAGAGAUCUGGAGGAAUACCGGUGGCGAAGGCGGCCCCCUGGACAGAGACUGACGCUCAGGUGCGAAAGCGUGGGGAGCAAACAGG
This 253-nucleotide ribosomal RNA is filed under the name uncultured prokaryote. Its description in RNAcentral is "partial 16S ribosomal RNA". It matches the Rfam family "Bacterial small subunit ribosomal RNA", at positions 524 to 776 of the family's 1533-position model. The record is from RNAcentral.